Molecule: ribosomal RNA, 301 nt
Filed under: uncultured bacterium
Lineage: Bacteria
Description: partial 16S ribosomal RNA
Rfam family: Bacterial small subunit ribosomal RNA
Source: RNAcentral
CAGCCGCCGCGGGAAUACGAAGGGUGCAAGCGUUACUCGGAAUUACUGGGCGUAAAGCGUGUGUAGGUGGUUGUUUAAGUCUGUCGUGAAAGCCCUGGGCUCAACCUGGGAAUUGCGAUGGAUACUGGGCGACUAGAGUGCGGUAGAGGAUAGUGGAAUUUCCGGUGUAGCAGUGAAAUGCGUAGAGAUCGGAAGGAACAUCUGUGGCGAAGGCGACUAUCUGGGCCAACACUGACACUGAGACACGAAAGCGUGGGGAGCAAACAGGAUUAGAUACCCGCGUAGUCCCUGUCUCUUAUAC